UAGGGAAUCUUCCACAAUGGACGCAAGUCUGAUGGAGCAACGCCGCGUGAGUGAAGAAGGUUUUCGGAUCGUAAAGCUCUGUUGUUGGUGAAGAAGGAUAGAGGCAGUAACUGGUCUUUAUUUGACGGUAACCAACCAGAAAGUCACGGCUAACUACGUGCCAGCAGCCGCGGUAAUACGUAGGUGGCAAGCGUUGUCCGGAUUUAUUGGGCGUAAAGCGAGCGCAGGCGGAAUGAUAAGUCUGAUGUGAAAGCCCACGGCUCAACCGUGGAACUGCAUCGGAAACUGUCAUUCUUGGGUGCAGAAGAGGAGAGUGGAAUUCCAUGUGUAGCGGUGGAAUGCGUAGAUAUAUGGAAGAACACCAGUGGCGAAGGCGGCUCUCUGGUCUGCAACUGACGCUGAGGCUCGAAAGCAUGGGUAGCGAACAGG
RNAcentral lists this ribosomal RNA (429 nucleotides) under bacterium. RNAcentral's name for it is "partial 16S ribosomal RNA". It matches the Rfam family "Bacterial small subunit ribosomal RNA", at positions 355 to 776 of the family's 1533-position model. The record is from RNAcentral.